RNAcentral lists this ribosomal RNA (447 nucleotides) under uncultured bacterium. RNAcentral describes it as "bacterial SSU rRNA". It matches the Rfam family "Bacterial small subunit ribosomal RNA", at positions 29 to 509 of the family's 1533-position model. The record is from RNAcentral.
AACGAACGCUGGCGGCAGGCCUAACACAUGCAAGUCGAACGCCGUAGCAAUACGGAGUGGCAGACGGGUGAGUAACGCGUGGGAACAUACCCCUCGGUUCGGAAUAACUCAGGGAAACUUGAGCUAAUACCGGAUACGUCCGAGGUUUUAAUCGACCUUGGAGAAAGAUUUAUCGCCGGAGGAUUGGCCCGCGUCUGAUUAGCUUGUUGGUGAGGUAAUGGCUCACCAAGGCGACGANCAGUAGCUGGUCUGAGAGGAUGAUCAGCCACAUUGGGACUGAGACACGGCCCAAACUCCUACGGGAGGCAGCAGUGGGGAAUAUUGGACAAUGGCGAAAGCCUGAUCCAGCCAUGCCGCGUGAGUGAUGAAGGCCUUAGGGUUGUAAAGCUCUUUGCCCGGGAAGAUAAUGACGGUACCGGGAGAAUAAGCCCCGGCUAACUUCGUGCC